The sequence is a transfer RNA, 64 nucleotides long. It matches the Rfam family "tRNA". Rfam says of the family: Transfer RNA (tRNA) molecules are approximately 80 nucleotides in length. Their secondary structure includes four short double-helical elements and three loops (D, anti-codon, and T loops). Further hydrogen bonds mediate the characteristic L-shaped molecular structure. tRNAs have two regions of fundamental functional importance: the anti-codon, which is responsible for specific mRNA codon recognition, and the 3' end, to which the tRNAs corresponding amino acid is attached (by aminoacyl-tRNA synthetases). tRNAs cope with the degeneracy of the genetic code in two manners: having more than one tRNA (with a specific anti-codon) for a particular amino acid; and 'wobble' base-pairing, i.e. permitting non-standard base-pairing at the 3rd anti-codon position.
GGAUUAUUAGUUUAAUAAAAAAUGUUGGUUUUGUAAGUCAAAGAUAAUUUAAUAUUAUAGUCCU